RNAcentral lists this ribosomal RNA (468 nucleotides) under uncultured bacterium. RNAcentral describes it as "partial 16S ribosomal RNA". It matches the Rfam family "Bacterial small subunit ribosomal RNA", at positions 28 to 507 of the family's 1533-position model. The record is from RNAcentral.
GAUGAACGCUGGCGGCGUGCUUAACACAUGCAAGUCGAACGGAAAGGCCCAAGCUUGCUUGGGUACUCGAGUGGCGAACGGGUGAGUAACACGUGGGUGAUCUGCCCUGCACUUCGGGAUAAGCCUUGGAAACUGGGUCUCAUACCGGGUAGGACGAUGUGUUGGAUGCCAUUGUGGAGAGUUUUUUCGGUGUGGGAUGACCUCGGGGUCUAUCAGCUUGUUGGUGGGUUAUUGGCAUAGCAAGGCGUCGACGGGUAGCCGGCCUGAGAGAGUGGAGGGCCAGAUUGGGACUGAGAGACAGGCCAGAGUCGGACGGCAGGCGGCAGUGGGGAAUAUUGCACAAAGGGAGCAAGCCUGAGGCAGGGACGCCGCGGGAUGGAUGACGGCCGUCAGGUGGGAAGCACCUAUCGCUAGGGACGAGUCGUUUUUGUGACGGUACCUGGAGAAGAAGCACCGGCUAACUACGUG